This 253-nucleotide ribosomal RNA is filed under the name uncultured bacterium. RNAcentral's name for it is "partial 16S ribosomal RNA". It matches the Rfam family "Bacterial small subunit ribosomal RNA", at positions 524 to 776 of the family's 1533-position model. The record is from RNAcentral.
GACGGAGGAUGCAAGUGUUAUCCGGAAUCACUGGGCGUAAAGCGUCUGUAGGUGGUUUCAAAAGUCCACUGUUAAAAAUUGAAGCUUAACUUCAAAGAUGCCGUGGAAACUUUGAAACUUGAGUAUGAUAGGGGUAGAGGGAAUUUCCAGUGGAGCGGUGAAAUGCGUAGAUAUUGGAAAGACCACCAAUGGCGAAGGCACUCUACUGGGCCAUUACUGACACUGAGAGACGAAAGCUAGGGGAGCAAAUGGG